This 3262-nucleotide long non-coding RNA is filed under the name Homo sapiens (human). RNAcentral describes it as "HSALNT0317723". Lineage: Eukaryota; Metazoa; Chordata; Mammalia; Primates; Hominidae. The record is from RNAcentral.
GGGGUAAGGGAGGAGUGAGCCUGGGUGCUGUGGGGGGAGGGGGUUGUUCAAGGGAUGGGGACGAUCAGGGUCUCUGGGAAGUGCUGACGUGUGCGCGUGUGCGGUGUGUUGCUUGUGGGUGCGUGUGUGGUGUGUGCAUGUGUGUGCGCGCGCGUGUGUGCGGGGUGUGCCGUGAGCGUGUGCCCGCGGUUCGGGGGAUGAGUAGGGGCGCUGACUUUUAGGACCAGCCAUUUGAGUCAAGCUGGAGACGACGUCUUAGAACCUAGGAUGAGUCUCGUUUGGUUUUAGUCUGCAAAGCUCGUCUGCAUCAGACAGGAAUUUUCCCCAGACGCGGGUGCACGUGAAUUAAUUCAUCAGAAGGCGGUUCACGGCCUGAGUGAGGGGGACGAGGGCGGCGAAUUCCUCCGCCUCAUUCCUACCCUGACGAUUCGAGAUGCUCGCUUCACCCCACUGAGAUGUAACUCAGUUUUGUGGGAUCCCACUGCCCUCCAGGUGCCGCUCCGAGUGCUCUACACAGAUUUUCAUUCAGUCCUUGCGGCACACGAAGGGAUGGCCUCUGCACUUCAGCUGGUUUCUGACACCUAAAAACAGAAGUGGAAAAGGGAGCAGACGCAGCCACAUUUUGAAAGCUGAUUCGGUUGCUUUCUGGCAGAAUCCCUGCCCCCAAGCACCUGCCAGGCCCACCCAUGAAGCCUCUUCCCACGCCUUAACUCUGCCCCAUGAGGGGACCUCAAGCAGUUGCAGUCUAGUCAGGUGAUUUGCAGAGCUCAGGGCUCAGGGAGGGGCACCCACCUCAGAAAAAAGCGCCGUGCUCAUGAGAAAUGACUUCUACAGGUUGUUGGGGAAAGAGGAGUUAUUUUAAAGAUCACAGAGCCCGUGAUGUGCCAGGCGCACCCACACAGGGCAUAUAGUCCCCGCAGCUGCCUCUGUGCUGGGGCCACGUCACCGUCCUGUCCUAAAGACAAGCAAUGUGAAGCCCAGAGAUGGUAUCUUAAAACAAUCGUGUGGUUUUUUUCUGAUUACAACAGCAAUUGUGUUAAUCCAACAAUAUUUUUCCUAUCAACUGUAAACCUUAUUUUAAUAUUUACAUAUUUAUUAGCAUUUAAAAUUCAAUCUCCUAGAAUAUUGACUUCAAUUAGUUUGGCUGAUUCUAAUUUUUUUUUUCUAAUUUGUUUAUCACUUAACUUUUUAAGUACUUUUUUUUUUUAGACAGAGUCUUGCUCUGUCACCCAGGCUGGAGUGCAGUGGUGCAAUCUCGGCUCACUGCAACCUCUGCCUCCUGGGCUCAAGCGAUUCUCCUGCCUCAACCUCCCGAGUAGCUGGGACUACAGGCUCACACCACCAUGCCCAGCUAAUUUUUAUAUUUUUAGUAGAGAUGGGGUUUCACCAUGUUGUCCAGGCUGGUCUCGAACUCCUGACCUCAAGUGAUCCCCCACCUCAGCCUCCCAAAGUGCUGGGAUUACAGGUGUGAGCCACCGUGCCUGGCCUGUUUUUAGUACUUUUAUCCUUUAUCUUUUUAACUACGUAAGUACUCAACAUUUUAAAUUAUUAAUCUUCACCAUGUUAUUUCCAAGAACAAUCACGAUUGAUCUUUCAGUUACACAGCCACGGUGUGUGCCUCUCUGUGUAACUCUGCACAGCUGGUGAUUUACUGAAAGAACUUACUCUCAUAAAACCACAGCCAGCGAGUUCUCAGAGACACAAUAAUGCACCUUAAUUAUGAGUUUAAAAGCUCUUGUCUUGUGAAAUGUAAUCGAUCCACAGAAAAAUCAUAAAGUAUACAUGUAAUAGCUUAAUGACUUAUAAAUGAAGAUCUGUAUACUUCCCACUCGAAAAACGGAAUAUUGCAGGAUUUGAGUACACAACCCGUACCUUUCCAACGACAGCCUCCCUCCCACCAGAGCUUCUGCUGAGUUCACUUGAAAUCACUUCCUUGCAUUUAUUUAUACUUUUAUUACCUUGAGGUGCAUCCCUAACCAUUCUAGUUCGAUUUUGCCUGGUGUUUGAACUUUAUAUUAAUGGAAUCAUAGGACAUAAUUCUUAUAUCUCUGGUUUCUUUCAUUCAACUUUGUGUCUGCGAAAUGUAUCCAUGUUGCAUGCAACGGGGGCUCAUUCAUCGCUGGUUACUGAUUCACUGCAUGAGUAUGACACAGUUUAUUAACCAUUUCACUGCUGAUGAACAUUUGAUCAUUUCUAGUUUGGGAAUAUUAUUAAUAAUUUUUGAACCUUCUUAUUUGUGUGCCCUGAUGUACAUGGACAUGCAUUUUAGGGGUGUAUACUUAGGGAAAUUGCCGGUUCAUGAGUAACACCUAUCUUCAGGUAUUACUUUUUGUGCCCUUUUAUGCUGAACUACAAUUUACGUGCAAUACCAAUCAUUCAUAUUAAGUGUACAACUCAGUGAGUUUAGACAACUGGACACCUUGUUGUGAGUCACCACCACCGAGAUGAUCCAGCACUGUCCCAACUCCCCCCAAGUUCUCCUUUGCAGGCACCCUCUCCCUCCAUUCUGGGCACAGGCAACCAUGAACCACUAUCUGUCACCGUAGCUUUAGUAUAAAAUUUCACAUACAUGGACUCAGGGAGCAUAGAGUCUUUCCUGUCUGGCUUCUUUCCGCUGGCAAAAUGCUUGGAGACUUUUCCACGUUGCUGCAUGAAUCAAUGGAUCAUUUGUUUUCGUGGCUGAGCAGAAUUCCACCAACAUUUGUUUACUCAUCCAUGAAAUGAUGGACAUUUGGUGUUUUUCCAUUGAGAUUGUUAUGAAUAAUGCUGCUAUUGUCAUUCAAGGACAAGUCUUCUGUGAACAUCUGUUUUCACUUCUCUUGGGUACAUCCUUAGAAGUGGUAUUGCUGGACUGUAUCAAAAGUUAAUAUUUAACUUUCAGGAAACUUACAAACUGUUUUCCAGAGUGGCUGUACCAUUUUGCAUUCCCAGACCGAAGUGUGAAAGCUCCAGAUGCCCCACGCCCUCACCAGCCCACGGUGUUGUCAGCCUUAAUAGUGCUGACCAUUCUGCCUGUUAAUAUGAUGAAUUACACUGAUUCAGUUUCAAAUGUCCAACCAAGCUUGCACUCCAGAGAUGAAGCCCACUUGAUCACAUGGAUUAUUCUUUUAAUAUAUGAUGGAUACGACUUGGCUGUUCUUUUGUUGAGGAUUUUUGUGUUUAUGUUAAUGAGGAUAUUAUUUGUAGUUUUCUUUUCUUGUAAUGUUUUUGUCUUUGUUCAGUGUCAGAGUAAUGCCAACUUCAUAAAGUGAGCUGGGAAGUA